RNAcentral lists this ribosomal RNA (262 nucleotides) under uncultured archaeon. RNAcentral describes it as "partial 16S ribosomal RNA". It matches the Rfam family "Archaeal small subunit ribosomal RNA", at positions 748 to 1009 of the family's 1478-position model. The record is from RNAcentral.
CAGCCGUAAACUAUGCGCGUUAGGUGUAUCGGUGACCACGAGUUACCGAGGUGCCGAAGGGAAACCGUGAAACGUGCCGCCUGGGAAGUACGGUCGCAAGGCUGAAACUUAAAGGAAUUGGCGGGGGAGCACCACAACAGGUGGAGCCUGCGGUUUAAUUGGACUCAACGCCGGGAAGCUCACCGGAUAGGACAGACAUAUGAUAGUCGGGCUGAAGACUCUACUUGAUGAUCUGAGAGGAGGUGCAUGGCCGUCAGUGACU